CCUGCCACGCGGGAGGCCCGGGUU
This 24-nucleotide non-coding RNA is filed under the name Drosophila virilis. The record is from RNAcentral. RNAcentral also lists the same sequence under 5 other names. Lineage: Eukaryota; Metazoa; Arthropoda; Insecta; Diptera; Drosophilidae.